Long non-coding RNA from Ceratitis capitata (Mediterranean fruit fly), 516 nucleotides. RefSeq lists it as uncharacterized. The record is from RefSeq and is a predicted model, not a curated record. The transcript is spliced from 3 exons. Lineage: Eukaryota; Metazoa; Arthropoda; Insecta; Diptera; Tephritidae.
UGAGCCAAUAAAUAAGGCAUAACAAUUAAAAAUAAAAAAUAAUAGUUUAUCAAUAUUCAGUGUAAUUACUUUGUAUGAACUAAACGAAAACAAAAAACCAAUGAGAAAAUAAAAAAAUAUAUUUUAACUUAAUUUUUUGCAUUUAUUUAUUAUGUUUUAUAUAUUUAAUUCAAUCAAGAUUGCAUUACGUUAAAUAGCUGAUUAAAAACCUUAAAGAAAUAUAUAUAAAAAAUAAAUAGUUAAAGCCAGAAAUUAAGCAAUUAAAAAUACAAUUAUUUUACCAAUACAACCCCAGUGAAAAUAUAAAGCGUAGUAAAUUUGACAAAAUACUACAAAUAUAAAUAAUUAAUUAAUGUGAAAAUAAUUAAUUGAAUAAUAAAAUUUACUCGAAUAACAAAAACAACUGUUGCAUUUAUUGACGAAUCUGGAUUAAAAAGUUUUGGAACAUAUUUUAAGCUUUGUGAAAAUUUAAUUAACAACAACUGUGCCACAAAACUAAAACAACACAAAAUGCUA